GGGGCUGAUUCUGGAUUCGACGGGAUUUGCGAAACCCAAGGUGCAUGCCGAGGGGCGGUUGGCCUCGUAAAAAGCCGCAAAAAAAUAGUCGCAAACGACGAAACCUACGCUUUAGCAGCUUAAUAACCUGCUUAGAGCCCUCUCUCCCUAGCCUCCGCUCUUAGGACGGGGAUCAAGAGAGGUCAAACCCAAAAGAGAUCGCGCGGAUGCCCUACCUGGGGUUGAAGCGUUAAAACGAAUCAGGCUAGUCUGGUAGUGGCGUGUCCGUCCGCAGGUGCCAGGCGAAUGUAAAGACUGACUAAGCAUGUAGUACCGAGGAUGUAGGAAUUUCGGACGCGGGUUCAACUCCCGCCAGCUCCACCA
Molecule: transfer-messenger RNA, 363 nt
Filed under: Salmonella enterica
Lineage: Bacteria; Pseudomonadati; Pseudomonadota; Gammaproteobacteria; Enterobacterales; Enterobacteriaceae
Also listed under: 1 other name
Rfam family: transfer-messenger RNA
About the family: Bacterial tmRNA, also known as 10Sa RNA or SsrA, is named for its dual tRNA and mRNA-like properties. Its role is to liberate the mRNA from a stalled ribosome.
Source: RNAcentral